This 488-nucleotide ribosomal RNA is filed under the name uncultured bacterium. RNAcentral's name for it is "bacterial SSU rRNA". It matches the Rfam family "Bacterial small subunit ribosomal RNA", at positions 37 to 518 of the family's 1533-position model. The record is from RNAcentral.
UAGCGACAGGCCUAACACAUGCAAGUCGAGGGGCAGCACAAGGAGCAAUCUGAGGUGGCGACCGGCGCACGGGUGAGUAACACGUAUGCAACCUGCCUGUAAGCGGGGAAUAACCCGUUGAAAGACGGACUAAUACCGCAUAAUACUAAAUUACUGCAUGGUAAUUUAUUUAAACAUUUAUGGCUUACAGAUGGGCAUGCGCAUGAUUAGCUAGUUGGAGAGGUAACGGCUCCCCAAGGCAACGAUCAUUAGGGGUUCUGAGAGGAAGGUCCCCCACACUGGUACUGAGACACGGACCAGACUCCUACGGGAGGCAGCAGUGAGGAAUAUUGGUCAAUGGACGAGAGUCUGAACCAGCCAAGUCGCGUGCAGGAAGAAUGUCCUUAAUGGAUUGUAAACUGCUUUUGCAGGGGAAUAAAGUGCAUCACGUGUGAUGUUUUGUAUGUACUCUGCGAAUAAGGAUCGGCUAACUCCGUGCCAGCAGCCGC